This 468-nucleotide ribosomal RNA is filed under the name uncultured bacterium. RNAcentral's name for it is "partial 16S ribosomal RNA". It matches the Rfam family "Bacterial small subunit ribosomal RNA", at positions 28 to 507 of the family's 1533-position model. The record is from RNAcentral.
GACGAACGCUGGCGGCGUGCUUAACACAUGCAAGUCGAACGGAAAGGCCCUGCUUUUGUGGGUUUCUCGAUUGGCGAACGGGUGAGUAGCACGUGAGUAACCUGCCCUUGACUUUGGGAUAACUUCAGGAAACUGGGGCUAAUACCGGAUAGGAGCUCCUGCUGCAUGGUGGGGGUUGGAAAGUUUCGGCGGUUGGGGAUGGACUCGCGGCUUAUCAGCUUGUUGGUGGGGUAGUGGCUUACCAAGGCUUUGACGGGUAGCCGGCCUGAGAGGGUGAACGGCCACCUUGGGACUGAGAUACGGCGCAGACUCCAACGGGAGGCAGCAGUGGGGAAUAUUGCACAAUGGGCGGAAGCCUGAUGCAGCAACGCCGCGUGCGGGAUGACGGCUUUCGGGUUGUAAACCGCUUUCGCCUGUGACGAAGCGUGAGUGACGGUAAUGGGUAAAGAAGCAACGGCUAACUACGUG